CCUACGGGAGGCAGCAGUGAGGAAUAUUGGUCAAUGGGCGCAAGCCUGAACCAGCCAAGUCGCGUGCAGGAUGACUGCCCUACGGGUUGUAAACUUCUUUUAUAAAAGGAUAAAGUGAGGCACGUGUGCCUUUUUGUAUGUACUUUAUGAAUAAGGAUCGGCUAACUCCGUGCCAGCAGCCGCGGUAAUACGGAGGAUCCGAGCGUUAUCCGGAUUUAUUGGGUUUAAAGGGAGCGUAGAUGGGUUGUUAAGUCAGAUGUGAAAGGUUGCGGCUCAACCGCAAAAUUGCAAUUGAUACUGGCAGUCUUGAGUACAGUUGAGGUAGGCGGAAUGUGUGGUGUAGCGGUGAAAUGCUUAGAUAUCACGAAGAACUCCGAUUGCGAAGGCAGCUUACUAAACUGCCACUGACAUUGAUGCACGAAAGUGUGGGUAGCAAACAGGAUUAGAUACCCCAGUAGUC
RNAcentral lists this ribosomal RNA (460 nucleotides) under uncultured bacterium. RNAcentral describes it as "partial 16S ribosomal RNA". It matches the Rfam family "Bacterial small subunit ribosomal RNA", at positions 338 to 795 of the family's 1533-position model. The record is from RNAcentral.